AUCUUAUCAAGAGCAGGUGGAGGGACUAGCCCGAUGAAACCCGGCAACCGACUUAUUCCAAUAAGCACGGUGCUAAAUCUUGCAGCACGAGGCUGAUAGAUAAGAG
This 106-nucleotide non-coding RNA is filed under the name Bacillus sp. (in: firmicutes). RNAcentral describes it as "Bacillus sp. SAM-I sequence". It matches the Rfam family "SAM riboswitch aptamer (S box leader)". Rfam says of the family: The SAM riboswitch is found upstream of a number of genes which code for proteins involved in methionine or cysteine biosynthesis in Gram-positive bacteria. The SAM riboswitch acts at the level of transcription termination control. Lineage: Bacteria; Bacillati; Bacillota; Bacilli; Caryophanales; Bacillaceae. The record is from RNAcentral.